RNAcentral lists this ribosomal RNA (500 nucleotides) under uncultured beta proteobacterium. Its description in RNAcentral is "bacterial SSU rRNA". It matches the Rfam family "Bacterial small subunit ribosomal RNA", at positions 821 to 1326 of the family's 1533-position model. Lineage: Bacteria; Pseudomonadati; Pseudomonadota; Betaproteobacteria. The record is from RNAcentral.
UGUCGGGUCUUAAUUGACUUGGUAACGCAGCUAACGCGUGAAGUAGACCGCCUGGGGAGUACGGUCGCAAGAUUAAAACUCAAAGGAAUUGACGGGGACCCGCACAAGCGGUGGAUGAUGUGGAUUAAUUCGAUGCAACGCGAAAAACCUUACCUACCCUUGACAUGUCAGGAACCCUCGAGAGAUUGAGGGGUGCCCGAAAGGGAGCCUGAACACAGGUGCUGCAUGGCUGUCGUCAGCUCGUGUCGUGAGAUGUUGGGUUAAGUCCCGCAACGAGCGCGACCCUUGUCAUUAGUUGCUACGAAAGGGCACUCUAAUGAGACUGCCGGUGACAAACCGGAGGAAGGUGGGGAUGACGUCAAGUCCUCAUGGCCCUUAUGGGUAGGGCUUCACACGUCAUACAAUGGUACAUACAGAGGGCUGCCAACCCGCGAGGGGGAGCUAAUCCCAGAAAGUGUAUCGUAGUCCGGAUCGCAGUCUGCAACUCGACUGCGUGAAGU